CACAGUCGCUGUACAUUUAUGGCAUAAGAUUAUCAGCACAAUUUUUAAUUGUUAAGUUAUGAACAAGCUAAACGUAAUGCAAGAUUAACCCGCGUUUGUUAGUAGCAGUAGUAUUUGCAUAUUCGUGGAGUAUUAACCAGCUUAAUUAAAUGAUUAUACUGUCAGAAUAGAUAUAUGUAAGACAAUUGAGAAUAAGUAAUGCUUGACAGUUAUAGGUUAACUACGUUAGUACCAGUGGGAUGUGGUAACAUGCUUUCAUGUUUCAGGGUUAGAAUAUGUUGAGGCUCUGACACAUAAAGAUUUAUAACGCAUGAGAACAUUUAUGUUAAAGUAGACCGCUGAUCACUAGCUAUGCAUAUUGGGUAAAUCUGUAAACAGGUAGAUCUAAGCUAAUGAGUAUCAUGAGUUAUAGUUACAAAUAACACCAGGAUAGUCAUGUUUAUAUAUCGUAUGGUCCUGUUAGGGAGUAGUGUUCAGAGUAGUGAGAGAGAUGGGAAAACAUGACUGGUAUAAUGUUUGCUUUAGCACGACUGUAUGAUAGGUACAUGUUAAGUAAGUCAGUGCCCUCAUUGGUGUUGUUUAAAGAUCCCCUGUUACCCGGGGGAGGGGGGGAAGAUUUCGAAUGGCUUUACCUGAGUGGCUAUAACGUGCCCUUGGUUGCCAG
Molecule: non-coding RNA, 664 nt
Organism: Pelobates cultripes (western spadefoot toad)
Lineage: Eukaryota; Metazoa; Chordata; Amphibia; Anura; Pelobatidae
Source: the annotation of a GenBank genome assembly